This 434-nucleotide ribosomal RNA is filed under the name uncultured bacterium. Its description in RNAcentral is "bacterial SSU rRNA". It matches the Rfam family "Bacterial small subunit ribosomal RNA", at positions 608 to 1042 of the family's 1533-position model. The record is from RNAcentral.
CUAAACUGAGGAAUGUCGGCCGAAACUGAUCGACUCGAGGAACGUAGAGGGAAGCGGAACUCUCGGAGUAGCGGUGAAAUGCGUAGAGACCGAGAGGUACCCCGAUGGUGAAGACAGCUUCCUGGGCGUUUCCUGACGCUGAAGCGCUAAGGCCAGGGGAGCGAAGGGGAUUAGAUACCCCCGUAGUCCUGGCUUCAAACGAUGUGGGCUUGGUGUCGGCCCCCGACAGAGGGUCGUUGCCGGAGCUAACGUGUUAAGCCCACCGCCUGGGGAUUACGUCCGCAAGGAUGAAACUCAAGGGAAUUGACGGGGGCCCACACAACCGGUGGAGCACGUGGUUUAAUUCGAUGAUAAGCGAAGAACCUUACCAGGGCUUGACCUAGCGGCAGUAGGACCCCGAAAGGGGAACGACCUCAAGCUUUGCUUGAGGAGCC